GUGGUAAUAUAUUCAGGUGGGGAAGCUCUCCCCCCCGGUGACCGUUCAAAAAAAAAAAGAGGUGUGGGGUUCUUUUUAUUUGACAGAGAAAAUACUCUGGUUUUGGAAAUACCACAGUAUUAAUACUGAAGUUUUUGUGGGUAGCCAAACACCUCACAGUAAAUUAAACUGUAGUAUUUUAAAAAACUGUAGUAUUAUCAGAAUACUUUAAAAAAACUUCGCUAUCAAACGGGGCCUUAAGGUUUGCCUCAGUUUUCUGCAUUUUUUGGCAAUGCAAUUUCCCCCAAUAUACAAUUAUACAUGAUAUGCUAUGACAUAAACAUGUGAAGCCCUGUGCAUCUUUGGUUCUGGUUCUACUACGUGCUGGUCUGCUGUCAUGCAACACAGAACUGAUUCUCUUGAAAAAUACAGAAUGAAACAGCUUCAUUAGUUGUACUAAACUGAUCUCGCACGAGUCAUAUUUCUCAAUAACUGAUGAACAUUCAGAAGAAAAAACGGUCUGUUUAUUUUUGUAAUAUAUACUAUUAAAGGGGAGUCCGUCGUCGUUUCGUUCGUAUCUUUAGUCCCAUCAUACAGUCAUUAGUUCUAAGGUACUUCCUCAGUAAACAAAUAUAAGAACAUUGUUCUAAGGUGAGAAUGGAUGUGCAUCUCCAUUAUGUAUAACUACAACAGGCUUAUGUGAUCUUAUCAUGAAGUCAUUUUUCAGUUUGUGCCCAACGUGACUGCAUGUAAAUAUGUAAUACGCUAACUUUGUUCUUCCUUUUUGUUGUUUGACUGACUCAAUUUACCAUCUCAAAUGCCAUUCCCUUUAUAGCUAGCACAUCAUCUCCAAAGAAUUUAUUUAAGUUGAAAUCCAGUAAUUAAAUGUUGAUCGGAUAAGCAGGCUGAUGGAAUCUUGGUCAAAUUUUUUGUUUUUACUGGAUGGAACUAGAACUAUUAUUUCCUGAAUAUAUUGGAUCACAAAGAACUAAAUAUAUCUACAAUGUCUUUGGGCAUACUCUGAAUUUGCAGAGUUAGCACAAACCUGGAAGCAUAUAUGCAGCUCCCAGAUGUUGCAGGCAAGAGGAAGGGCACGUACGUCAUGCGAUACCACGGAGACCUCUAUCUGGUAACCAGACUCUCCACGUGGACGUGGGAAUAAGAAAGCGUAGCAGAGACAUGAAAAGGAAUUUAUUGGUGGGACAAAAUUAUGUCAUGGUUUAUAUACAGCAAGGAUCAUACCCCACCCACGCGGUGGCACGACGCAGAAGGGCUACAUGGGUUAAUAGCGGCGUGUGCAAUGGAAGGACGCCUAUGAGAACAAGCUCGCCGAGGUCUUGGAAUUCCAACCUAGUGCACUGGUUCACGAGAUUGAUGCUGAGAAGAUUCAGUUUGCCGCGCUACACAUGAGAAGAUUCUUUUUCUUGAAAAUAUAUUGUUUUCUCGGUGCACAUACCUUCAGAAAAAGAGAAGUGCUUGAACGAAGAUUCUCCUCCGUCAUCUAAACGAUGAAACUCGAUAUAGACCAGGCAGGAAGGAGGAGGUGGAGGAGGCGAGAAGCUGUGGCGUCAUGCUCUCCCCCGAUGCUUUCAAGUCGUCCGCCCUGCACCAAGGCACUCCUCUCCCCACUCGAUUCCGCUCCUCCACAUUUGGUCCUUCAGUUGUUGAUGUGUUGAAGGAGGCUCCACGGAGGCGGCGGCCAUCGAGCUCUAGAUUUGGCAGCAGCGGCACACCGUACGUAGUGCACGCCAAAGCUAAGGAACUGGCGAAGACCGCUAUAAUGCCCCACGUCAUAUUAAGGAUAAGCUGUUCUGGCAAUAUACUUUUGCUCGUGAGGAGCUACAUCUUACCAAGAGUUUCAGGGAUAGGACUAAGACAGAUAUCAGUUUUUGCCUAAUUGUAGUUUAUGGUGCUCUUUUUUCUUUAUAGAAAUUUCCUAUGCUCUUAUGCUCACGUGGAAUAGCAACAUCACAACCAAUAUUAAUGUGACUUGUUUGUCUUUUGCAGAAUUUUUUUAAGGCCUCGUCCUGCUUGAUUUGCCAGCGUGUGUGACUCCCGAAAUCCAAGUUUACAUCACUGCAUACAAAUUUGUUGGGCACCUCUGAAUUCGUUGCAUGCGUUGAUUCGCAUGGGAAGCGGGCGCUACAGGUUGAUGCAACUUCCCCAACUAAAUGCACGGAUGAUACUUCUUUAUGGCUGUGACUAACUUGUCAACCUGGGUAAAAGAAAAAUAUUUACUGUACAAAUAGGAGAAGGCAAAAAAAUCAUCUCAUAUAUUAGAUUGCACCAGUAGUAUUUUGGGAGCAUAAAUUCUUCAUUAGAGACAUAGGAAAAUUGUUUUCCAGAUGUUGCAGGCGAGAGGAAGGGCGCGUCAUGCGAUGCCAUGUAUCCAGUAGUGGUUUCUUCUCCCAUACGGUAUGCCCUUACUCUCCGGUCUGUACGUAUGUAUGCUUUUCCACUUAAUACGGUAUUAGCUCUAUGUUAACCUUCUUCUAGGUUCCCCGCUCUAGGAUUUUCUUUGUAGGAAAUCUGAAUAAUAUAAAUAGGUAUGUUUUCCCAUGAAGAUGUCUGGUUUUAAUCCAAAAAAAUUACAUUACAUGGUAUGCUAAAAUGGUUUGUAUUUUAGAGUUUACUCCCAUUUACUUGUGUGUUCUUCCAAUAGUAAUAGAAUUGCUAUCAAUUAGACUUCUUUGUGUUCCCUGAAAUUAAAUGGUUUGCCAUAGAGGAUGAAAUUUGAGUAUGACAGUUGUUGAACUGAAAAUAAUCUAGCGAGCAAUAAUAAAAUGAAGAAUACCUUAUCAUAUUGCAGUGCCCUAUGAGUGAAUAACAGGCCAAUACACUGGCAAAAUGAAAAUGCUUUGUUUGGAUACCAAGAAGAAAAAUAGUUCACAUUAAGAGACUAUUUUAAAGUUGUUUCCAGUAGACUAUUAGAUAUGGUGUCGCAUGGACCCUUUUAAAAUUAGCUUCUUGAUUUCAUUUGGCAGGAUGGUGCCGCAAAACUCUGGUUAAAUAGCUGCUACCAUCCCCGUACAUGAUAAAUAAAGUUUUUUUCUCAGUGUAGAAUUUGGUGUUUAGUGUAGUGCUUGAUGUCUCCGUACAUAACAAGACAAGUUGAGAUUUAUUUUCUUAGUUUGGUUGCUGGUCUUAUCUCAAACUUGGGUGUCCAAUGUAGUCCUUGACAUCCCAUGUACGCACUGUUGUAUAUACUUGUUGAUUCAUGCAAAAGUAUUAACUGAGAGUUUAUUGUGUUCUGCAAGAAACAUUAAUUCGGAGAGUCCACCAUACAUUAUUUAAGUGCUGGUUAAAUGUAUACCACUAGAGUUGAUUGAGGGGCUAAUCAGCAGGGUGUAAUCAAGGUUGGACUUAUUGCUUCGAGGCACAAUCUAUAUUUCACAGCAUGUGUAACCUUGCAGGAUGUGUUUUAUUUUCUUUCAAUACACCCAACCCUGCUUUCAAUUAAAUUCACUUUGGUUGGACUGAACUUCACUGAUGAAAAAUAUCAUUGUCGUCUAUCGUGUCUCCUUAAAAAAGAGGAAACUGUCGAAAUCUUUGUUAUCAGUGCACAUAUCCUUUUGCUCUUGGUGCAUGGGCUAUAGGAUUGUAUCAAAUUAUUUGUUCGACACGAGUCACAAAAAACACUGAAGCAUAUGUACUUGAUGCAGAUGCAUUUAUAUACAUCUUUUGUGGGAUUUACCUAUUAUCUUUGCCAUAGACAUGGAAAGCCAUCGACCAGUUUUUGUAGUUUGGUAGCUUUCACAUGCCCAUAGUAUAAUUAUGUUAGCCUUUGCAUUUUUCUGAUGAUGUUGUCAUGAGCUGAACAUAUACUGGGAGAAUAAUUGACAUUUUGCCUAUGAUAUCAAUAUACCAAGUUUUUGUUUGGUUGGAAUUUUGACAGCAUCAUAUUCAUAUGGUUAUGUACUUCAAAAUACCAAAGGAGGGGCCAAACGUUGUACGAGCUUCGACAAAGGGAACCUGCCUACAAUGCUGUGGCGGGGUUGGGGGCAGCCGUGCGGUGUGAGUUGGUCAAGUCUGAGGAUCACGGCCGACAACUGCAUCUUCAACCUCUACACGAUUAGUGAUAUUUGGCUAUG
Long non-coding RNA from Triticum aestivum (bread wheat), 4070 nucleotides. RefSeq lists it as uncharacterized. Lineage: Eukaryota; Viridiplantae; Streptophyta; Magnoliopsida; Poales; Poaceae. The transcript has 7 exons. The record is from RefSeq and is a predicted model, not a curated record.